GGGGUUACUGGUACAGAGUCAAUGUGGAGGCUAUAUACUGGAGGUACCGGUACAGAGUCAAUGUGGAGGCUAUAUACUGGAGGUACCGGUACAGAGUCAAUGUGGAGGCUAUAUACAGGGGGUACCGGUACAGAGUCAAUGUGGAGGCUAUAUACAGGGGGUACCGGUACAGAGUCAAUGUGGAGGCUAUAUACAGGGGUUACUGGUACAGAGUCAAUGUGGAGGCUAUAUACAGGGGGUACCGGUACAGAGUCAAUGUGGAGGCUAUAUACAGGGGGUACCGGUACAGAGUCAAUGUGGAGGCUAUAUACAGGGGGUACUGGUACAGAGUCAAUGUGGAAGCUAUAUACAGUGGGUACCGGUACAGAGUCAAUGUGGAGGCUAUAUACAGGGGGUACCGGUACAGAGUCAAUGUGGAGGCUAUAUACAGGGUGUUACGGUACAGAGUCAAUGUGGAGGCUAUAUACAGGGUGUUACGGUACAGAGUCAAUGUGGAGGCUAUAUACAGGGGGUACCGGUAUAGAGUCAAUGUGGAGGCUAUAUACAGGGGUUACUGGUACACAGUCAAUGUGGAGGCUAUAUACAGGGUGUUACGGUACAGAGUCAAUGUGGAGGCUAUAUACCGGUACAGAGUCAAUGUGGAGGCUAUAUACAGGGGGUACCGGUACAGAGUCAAUGUGUCAAUGUGCAAGGGCACCGAUGUUGAGGUAAUUAUGUACAUGCAGGUAGGGUUGUUAAAGUGGCUAUGCAUAGAUAACAGAAAGUAGUAGCAGCAUGAGGGGGGGUGCAAAUAGUCUGGGUAGUCAUUUGAUUAGCUGUUCAGGAGUCUUAUGGCUUGCAGGUAGAAGCUGUUUAGAAGCCUCUUGGACCUAGAUUUGGCGCUCCGGUACCACUUGCCGUGCAGUAGUAGAGAGAACAGUCUAUGGCUAGGGUGGCUGGAGUCUGACGAUUUUUAGGGCCUUCCUCUGACACCGCCUGGUAUAGAGGUCCUGGAUGGCAGGAUGCUUGGCCUCGGGGAUGUACUGGGCCGUACGCACUACCCUCUGUAGCGCCUUGCGGUCGCGGAGGCCAAGCAGUUGCCAAACCAGGCAGUGAUGCAACCCAUCAGGAUGCUCUCGAUGGUGCAGCUGUAAAAUCUUUUGAGGACCCAUGCCAAAUCUUUUCAGUGUCCUGAGGGGGAAUAGGUAAUGAUGGGGUUGGAGUUGUCCCUGGCUGUGCAGUCAUCCUGUACUCCAUCUGUCAAACUAGACCAAUUUAGUGUUAAUGUCUAAUAAUCUUACAGCCUUUGUGCUAAAUUUGACAGUCGCCCACACUGUGAAAGAGUGAUGGGUUAAACGUGUCUUCAGAUUUUCAGUUAAUUCCUGUCUCUAAUCCUUGGUAAUGACAGUCUGUGGUUUAUUGGUAUUUAGGGUUCUAUUCAAUCUGUGUCGCUGAAGCGUUAAGAGAUUCCACGAUAGAAAUGUAAAAUGGCAGCCGACAUAUGCUGGAUGCAGUCUCUACUAACGCAGGGAACAUUCCUUUUAAAAUGUUAAAUCACACUGUAACGGUGGACUUUAGCGACACGCAGGGAAUAGAGACCUUAGAUUUGUAACUCAAUGAGAAAAAUAAAGGCUGUGUUGGAAGAAGG
This 1627-nucleotide long non-coding RNA is filed under the name Salmo salar (Atlantic salmon). RNAcentral's name for it is "lncRNA (ENSSSAG00000109199.1)". The record is from RNAcentral. Lineage: Eukaryota; Metazoa; Chordata; Actinopteri; Salmoniformes; Salmonidae.